RNAcentral lists this ribosomal RNA (207 nucleotides) under Triticum aestivum (bread wheat). RNAcentral describes it as "partial small subunit ribosomal RNA". Lineage: Eukaryota; Viridiplantae; Streptophyta; Magnoliopsida; Poales; Poaceae. The record is from RNAcentral.
AUGGGUUUUCUCAUAAUUUGUGAGGAUGAUGGGUGGCAAGGCUCCACAAACAAUUCUGAUAGGCCAAAAUCGUGCAAUGGAGGUUGCUAUACGGAAUGUGAUUCCAAGCACAGCGCACCGGUGGUGCAAGUGGCACGUACUGAAGAAGAUCCGGCACAAAUGGGCAAAACCUUAUUUCAAAGGUGUGUUCUGUGCCAAAAUGACUAG